Long non-coding RNA from Astatotilapia calliptera (eastern happy), 1740 nucleotides. The record is from Ensembl. NCBI's taxonomy places the organism in Eukaryota, Metazoa, Chordata, Actinopteri, Cichliformes, Cichlidae.
CACUUCUGCGGGCCUGGCCAGCGAGCCGGCCGGCAUCAGGGCGAUCAGCUGAUCUCUGGAGUAAACAGUCCGUGCGUGUAGGAGAUGUGCCGCGGUCCCGUUCCAUGAUAAAAGUAACAGUUCCACGGCCACCAGAAGAACAAAAACUCUCUCAAUCCACAUGAUUGAGUAAGAGAUAGAAAACGGAGGAAAAUACAAGUCAGAAAAAAAAAGAAUACGUAAGAAAAAAGAGCUAAACUAAGAGAAAAGCAGGAGCGACUGUAACAGGCUGCACGCUGGUUGGCGCAUGCGCACUAACUAAAAUGCAGCAGGCUGUAAAUGUCACCGAAGGGGGCGGGCUGCAUCUCUCCUGUAAAGUGGAUGGGGUUCAAGGUCAGCUCUCUGUCACCUGGCAACACAAACCAACACCAAUGGCCUUGUUCACCAAGAUCAUCAGUAUAAGUCGGGAGGGUGUUACAGAGAUAGCAGAGGAGUUCAUGAGUCGCAAAGUGAGGGUGAUGCGUCCAGCAGCUGAUCCUUGAGCUUGAUGAGGUCAAAAUGUCCUGUGUACCCGUGUCUGGGCAGAAACCCAAUAGCAAGACUCACAGCCAGGCACAAACUACCACUGUAACAGUGAUUUUUAUAGAAAACAGUCUCUCUAUUCCAAAGGAGAAAGCAGAGAUAAAGCAGAGGAACAAGAAAGCAAAAUUUCAUCAUCCCCUGCAACAUCAACCAACAACCCAGCCAUGAAUCCAAGUUGAGGUCACAUGGUUUUGGCAGAAAAAAAUCAGAAACUAAACAGCGCCCCGUAUUCACAGUUUACAGGAACACAACUCUACAAGACAGGUUUGGGGAGAAUGUUCGCCUGAGAUACGACCACCCUGACCCCAGAUAAUUCAGCCUCACGUUCUUGAACCUUGGUCCUGAAAAUAGUGGUCUGUAUUUCUGUGAGGUAGAGGAGUGGCUGCCUUUUCUGUCUCAUGGGUGGAGUUGCAGUAGAAAAGUCAGUUAAUUUAAAUGUCAGUGUUCUCACAGAAGGCAAUGCUAAUCACAUCUCUGAAUGCAACAUGAGUACCUAUAAAAUAACUAUUACAAUUCUCAUCGUCAUAGUCAUGGCCAUAUUGCUACUGAUGCUCAAGAUGUGCAGAAAUAAAGGCUCAAAAGGAAAGAAGUCAACUCCAUCUCGCUGGGGUGAAUCGCUCCCUUUGAACACCAAUCAAGGUGGAGACGACUGAACAGCAGAGACAUUCUUUCUAUGUGAUGCAAUAUAUGCAAAAGAAUUUAAUAGCUUAUCUUCUUUUAACUCAUAUUUUCCAAUUAAAUCACUCUUGUUUCAAUUUAUCUGUUCAGAGCAUUUCAUGGAAUAGCUCUACCAGUUUACAGUGCAGCUGGGAAUAAUUUUAAAGAAUAAAGUCAUACCGUGGUAAACCAAUGUGCCAAAAUAAAAAUGUGUUGCUCUGCAAAUACUCACAGACUGCAAUGUACUGUAUAUAUUUGCCUAUAAAUGCUAGUGUGGAUCCGAAUCUCUGGACUUGCACAAAACUGAAUAAAUCCAAUCAAAUUUUUGAUGCUUUUCCUCCAUCUGUCUCACACUCUCCUUCUUUCUCUCCUCCCUUUUCCUGACUCUUUUUUUUUUCCUUCAUCAGCCCCAUAAAUCUUUAACACCCCAUCUGUUUUAGAGACUGAAAUAGAAUCUACUUAUUGCUUUCACUUUAGAAGAAACAACUGCAGACAUCUGAUUACUGUCAUACUGAGGAAGGC